RNAcentral lists this ribosomal RNA (447 nucleotides) under uncultured bacterium. RNAcentral's name for it is "partial 16S ribosomal RNA". It matches the Rfam family "Bacterial small subunit ribosomal RNA", at positions 29 to 523 of the family's 1533-position model. The record is from RNAcentral.
AACGAACGCUGGCGGCAGGCUUAACACAUGCAAGUCGAGCGCCCCGCAGGGGGAGCGGCAGACGGGUGAGUAACGCGUGGGAAUCUACCCAUCCCUACGGAAUAGCUCCGGGAAACUGGAAUUAAUACCGUAUACGCCCUACGGGGGAAAGAUUUAUCGGGGAUGGAUGAGCCCGCGUUGGAUUAGCUAGUUGGUGGGGUAAUGGCCUACCAAGGCGACGAUCCAUAGCUGGUCUGAGAGGAUGAUCAGCCACAUUGGGACUGAGACACGGCCCAAACUCCUACGGGAGGCAGCAGUGGGGAAUAUUGGACAAUGGGGGCAACCCUGAUCCAGCCAUGCCGCGUGAGUGAUGAAGGCCUUAGGGUUGUAAAGCUCUUUCACCGGGGAAGAUAAUGACGGUACCCGGAGAAGAAGCCCCGGCUAACUUCGUGCCAGCAGCCGCGGUAA